UACGGGGGGGGCAAGCGUUGUUCGGAAUUACUGGGCGUAAAGCGCACGUAGGCGGCUUUGCAAGUUAGAGGUGAAAGCCCGGGGCUCAACUCCGGAAUUGCCUUUAAAACUGCAUCGCUAGAAUUGUGGAGAGGUAAGUGGAAUUCCGAGUGUAGAGGUGAAAUUCGUAGAUAUUCGGAAGAACACCAGUGGCGAAGGCGACUUACUGGACACAUAUUGACGCUGAGGUGCGAAAGCGUGGGGAGCAAACAGGG
This 254-nucleotide ribosomal RNA is filed under the name uncultured bacterium. Its description in RNAcentral is "partial 16S ribosomal RNA". It matches the Rfam family "Bacterial small subunit ribosomal RNA", at positions 524 to 777 of the family's 1533-position model. The record is from RNAcentral.